RNAcentral lists this small nuclear RNA (164 nucleotides) under Echinops telfairi (small Madagascar hedgehog). RNAcentral's name for it is "U1 spliceosomal RNA (ENSETEG00000021825.1)". It matches the Rfam family "U1 spliceosomal RNA". Rfam says of the family: U1 is a small nuclear RNA (snRNA) component of the spliceosome (involved in pre-mRNA splicing). Its 5' end forms complementary base pairs with the 5' splice junction, thus defining the 5' donor site of an intron. Lineage: Eukaryota; Metazoa; Chordata; Mammalia; Afrosoricida; Tenrecidae. The record is from RNAcentral.
AUACUUAACUGGCAGGGGAGAAACCAAGAUCACCAAGGCAGUUUUCCUAGGGCGAGGCUUAUCCUUUGCAUUCCGGAUAUGCUGACCCCUGCCAUUUCCCCAAAUGUGGGAAGCUCUACUGCAUAAUUUGUGGUAGUGGGGGACUGUGUUCGCGCUCUCCCCUG